RNAcentral lists this ribosomal RNA (342 nucleotides) under Salmonella enterica. RNAcentral's name for it is "partial 23S ribosomal RNA". It matches the Rfam family "Bacterial large subunit ribosomal RNA", at positions 179 to 559 of the family's 2925-position model. The record is from RNAcentral. Lineage: Bacteria; Pseudomonadati; Pseudomonadota; Gammaproteobacteria; Enterobacterales; Enterobacteriaceae. RNAcentral also lists the same sequence under 2 other names.
GCGAACCGGGGGAACUGAAACAUCUAAGUACCCCGAGGAAAAGAAAUCAACCGAGAUUCCCCCAGUAGCGGCGAGCGAACGGGGAGGAGCCCAGAGCCUGAAUCAGCAUGUGUGUUAGUGGAAGCGUCUGGAAAGGCGCGCGAUACAGGGUGACAGCCCCGUACACAAAAGCGCAUGUGCUGUGAGCUCGAUGAGUAGGGCGGGACACGUGGUAUCCUGUCUGAAUAUGGGGGGACCAUCCUCCAAGGCUAAAUACUCCUGACUGACCGAUAGUGAACCAGUACCGUGAGGGAAAGGCGAAAAGAACCCCGGCGAGGGGAGUGAAAAAGAACCUGAAACCGU